RNAcentral lists this unclassified non-coding RNA (262 nucleotides) under uncultured Ascomycota. Its description in RNAcentral is "sequence contains 5.8S rRNA gene". The stretch from base 1 to 53 matches the Rfam family "5.8S ribosomal RNA", at positions 102 to 154 of the family's 154-position model. Lineage: Eukaryota; Fungi; Ascomycota. The record is from RNAcentral.
GAACGCACAUUGCGCCCAUUAGUAUUCUAGUGGGCAUGCCUGUUCGAGCGUCAUUAAGUCCACUUAAGCCCUGCUUAGUGUUGGGAACCUACAGAAGCUACCCUGUAGCUACCCUGUAGUUCCUUAAAGACAGCGGCGGAGUUGUAGUACCCUCUGAGCUUAGUAAUUUUUUCUAGCUUUCGAGAUGCUACUGCUUCUGCCGUUAAACACCCUUCUUCUGAAUGGUUGACCUCGGAUCAGGUAGGAAUACCCGCUGAACUUA